Molecule: long non-coding RNA, 814 nt
Organism: Herpailurus yagouaroundi (jaguarundi)
Lineage: Eukaryota; Metazoa; Chordata; Mammalia; Carnivora; Felidae
Exons: 2
Source: RefSeq, a predicted model, not a curated record
AACCAAAAAGCCCAGUGUUUUUCCCAAAACAAAAAAACGGUCUUUUCUGGUAGGUAGAUUUUCCUCUUCCUUUGCUAAACAGAAAAUAGCUGAGGCUUUGGAAUUACUGUGUUCCCUGCUUCAAGCCCUCCAAGUUGCAGUGGUAUCAGGGUCUGAUAAAGAGAGCACCCCAUCAUAUAAGUAAUGAUCAGACAUGAAUAACCAUAUUUGGACCAGUCAUAGUUGAAGGCAGAAGGUGCCAGGCAGCCUAGCACAUGGCUUCAUCAGCCAGCAGGACCAAAUUAUCCCUGUGUUUACUUUUUUUUAAAAAGGCACUGACCUAUGAAUAAAUAGCACUUGACAUUGAAAAUUGCCACAUUAAAUACCCUGCUCCUCUCCCCGAUUAUAGCAGCCUCCGGAGCUCUUCCAAAUUGUCACCUAGGAUGAAUAUGACAGCAAACAAUGCUUUAAAAGAGCCAGCUCUGUGGUUCCCGGCUCUCCCCAGCCAAACUGUGCUUAUGUUUCAUAGGGUCACUGACCUUUCUUUCCUUGCUGCUCCAACAACUGCUAUCUUUGCAGCUCUUCUUCCAUCUGCUGCCUUGUUUUUUGUUCCAUGGCCAUUGUGGUUGAGUACGUCCUUUGUCUGAGCUGGGACAGACAACUCCUGGCUGAGAAUUAUCCCGGAAGGCUCAGAGCCGUCCCUCUGUGCAGUAUGCAACCACUCAACACCAUCUGGGGGACCCACUAGCCAAGAUGCUCUGAGGUGGGGCACUCAGGGUUGCCAGCCUUAUCAGUGAAAUAUGGAAAGACAGAAAUAAAGAAGCAAUUUCAAGAC